Molecule: long non-coding RNA, 1336 nt
Organism: Vicia villosa (hairy vetch)
Lineage: Eukaryota; Viridiplantae; Streptophyta; Magnoliopsida; Fabales; Fabaceae
Exons: 3
Source: RefSeq, a predicted model, not a curated record
GAUUAAUUAAGACAUUAAAGAAGAGGGGGGAGAAAUUAGGGUUACAAACUUGUGGCUAUUGAGCUCUCACGUGAACAAAUCCCUCUCCCUCUCUCACGACGGCGACGACCGAAGUUUUCACCGGCGGAGAUCUCCGGCAAAACUCUCACUCUCUUCAAUCUCACCGGCCUCCGUCUUUCUCUAUCUCUCUCGCCUAUCUCAAUAUCUCUCGAUUUCGUGACGAUGAUGAUGAUGAGUGUUCUUCGUUGUUGCAGAUGAAGAUGAAGUUCCGAUGAUGAAGGUUGAAGAAUGACAGAGGAAGAUGAAGAAGAUUGAAUCAGGUUGUGGUGGAGAUUGAAAUUGCUGCGGAUCCAAAGAUGUUGAUGCCGAGAAAUUACGAUGAUGAACAGGUGCAGCGAUGAAGAUGAAGAUUCAAGGGAUGAAGGUCGUGACUCGGAGAUGUGAAGGUCGGUUAGAGUAUGGAGAGGUUGAGGAUUUGAUGAUUGAAGUGUGAGGUAGAUGAAGAGUAAUGGAUUGAUGAUGAUGAUUUGAGGAAAUGAUAAAGAUGGUGGAGAGUCCAGGAGUGAAGAAGUGAAAGUGAAUUCUGUGUGAAUGGUUCAGAGGAUGGAGUGAUGGAGAAUUGAAAUGGAGAUGGAUGAAGAAAAUGGAAAACAGAGUGAAGAACCUUUGAAGAAUCGAGUUCUGAGAUUUUAUAGCCGUGACAGGUGGCUCAGUUUAUUUGUGGGGAAUCGGUUUACGGAGCUGCAAGUCCUUUGGUCACGAAAGGAGAAAGAGAAUUGAAGAGGGUUUGGUUUACUUUAUCGCUUGAUGGAUAUAUGUAAACAGAACUAUCAUGAGGAAGGAACGAAUGGAGAUUAACUCGAAGAAUGCAGGAUGCCCAUAAAUGAUGGAGAAUGGCCUUUGUUUUCUUAUAGGAUUUCUGGUUGAAUGGUAGAAGCCAUGUCUUCAUGUAGUAUCUUGUAAUAUAAAUUGAAGUGAAAUGAUGUUUACAAUGUAAUUUGGCUUCUCUCUUUUUUUGUAGAAACUUUUGAAUGAUGAAGUUGAACCUUGUAAUGUAACACUUGUAAUGAACCCUCAAAGGAGCUUGUAAUGAAUUAUGAUGAAGUUUGGAAGAUUGCUCUUGGACAUGUAAUAAGUGAUAGUAAAUGAGAUUGGUUCUUUGAUUCUUGAAUUUGAACUUUGAACGAUUGUAAAAGAACCAAUACGAAAAGCUUUGUAUUCAGCAUAACUCUUUUUUUUUUUAUUCUGUAUUGAAUUUACAAUGUAGCAUGUAUGUAAUGGAUCCCAUUUUUGUAGUAGAGCUAACUUUUGAAUCCUUGUAAUGGGAAUGUAAUGA